Molecule: unclassified non-coding RNA, 280 nt
Filed under: Hevea brasiliensis (rubber tree)
Lineage: Eukaryota; Viridiplantae; Streptophyta; Magnoliopsida; Malpighiales; Euphorbiaceae
Source: RNAcentral
AUACAUCUCCGCCUCCAGUUUGGUGCAGCAUUGCAUCUAUUUCAUCUCCAUCUUCCAUCUCAAGCUCAUCAGGAGUCUGUUCUCCACGCAGUCUGCGCCCAUCAAAUAAAAAUGCAAUGGAGUUCAACUCCACUGACUGUCUAUCACAGUAAGCAGUCAUUAGCUUGCGCAGCUGGGUGCUUCGCUUGAUCCUGAAGAACACCUCAUUGCCAUCCUGGCCCUUAACUUUUAGAUUAAUGUGAGCAGACUGAUCCAUAGGCUUCUUAUCCUCCUCCUGAGC